Molecule: non-coding RNA, 745 nt
Filed under: Pan troglodytes (chimpanzee)
Lineage: Eukaryota; Metazoa; Chordata; Mammalia; Primates; Hominidae
Source: RNAcentral
GCGGCGCGGGCCCUCCUCCCAUUGGACCCGGCGCUCCCGGCAGGCCUACAGAAUUGGGCAUGAAACAGCAAAGGAUGGCCUCUGCUUCCACCACCAUCAGAAAUGUUACAUUUUCACCAGUGCACCAUAAUGUAGCAGUCUCUCAUUGUGAGGUAUCACCUGGAGUUCUUUGUCUCAUGACCAAGAAAAUUAAGGAGCGUGGAUGCAAAGGAUGAAGUUGCAGCGAAAGUUUAAUAAGCAAAAGAAGAAAGCUCUCCACAGUGGAGAGGGGACCUGGAGGAGGGUUGCUGCUUUUACAGUAUCUUCCCUUGUGGACUACACCAAUGUCGAAAUGUUCUUGCUAAAAAUGAUGCAGGGAGAAAGACAAAGUUACAAAGUUGGCAUCCACAAUUUUUCCAUCUUGCCCCACUUCCCAAUUAAAAUGAAGGAAAAAAAAAUUGGUGAGGUCUCCAUCCCUGUCUGAAGCAGGCAUCCAUUAUCCUGCCCAGGGGGUGACCUUUAUCUUCAUGGCCCAGUGUGACUGCAAGAGCUCUAGCAUCCAAGUUCCCAGCAGAAGGAUGGAGGACUGACUGGAAAAACAAGGAGACACAGGGUAUGCAUCGGAUAUGAAAUUUAUGUCAUACAAUUUCUUUACCAAUAGAUAAGACUGAAAGCAACACCAGCCAGUCUUGGGAAAUAUAAAGUCACAAAUACAUUUUGAUAAUUUUUCAUUUUGUAAAGGAUCUUUCUGCUGAUGCAGCUGUUA